RNAcentral lists this ribosomal RNA (482 nucleotides) under uncultured bacterium. RNAcentral's name for it is "partial 16S ribosomal RNA". It matches the Rfam family "Bacterial small subunit ribosomal RNA", at positions 30 to 507 of the family's 1533-position model. The record is from RNAcentral.
AUUGAACGCUGGCGGCAUGCUUUACACAUGCAAGUCGAACGGUAACAGGCCGCAAGGUGCUGACGAGUGACGAACGGGUGAGUAAUGCAUCGGAACGUGCCCAGUCGUGGGGGAUAACUACUCGAAAGAGUAGCUAAUACCGCAUACGAUCUAUGGAUGAAAGCGGGGGACCGUAAGGCCUCGCGCGAUUGGAGCGGCCGAUGUCAGAUUAGGUAGUUGGUGGGGUAAAGGCUCACCAAGCCAACGAUCUGUAGCUGGUCUGAGAGGACGACCAGCCACACUGGGACUGAGACACGGCCCAGACUCCUACGGGAGGCAGCAGUGGGGAAUUUUGGACAAUGGGCGCAAGCCUGAUCCAGCAAUGCCGCGUGCAGGAAGAAGGCCUUCGGGUUGUAAACUGCUUUUGUACGGAACGAAACGGCUCUGGUUAAUACCCGGGGCUAAUGACGGUACCGUAAGAAUAAGCACCGGCUAACUACGUG